RNAcentral lists this ribosomal RNA (497 nucleotides) under uncultured bacterium. RNAcentral's name for it is "partial 16S ribosomal RNA". It matches the Rfam family "Bacterial small subunit ribosomal RNA", at positions 28 to 507 of the family's 1533-position model. The record is from RNAcentral.
GAUGAACGCUGGCGGCGUGCCUAAUACAUGCAAGUCGAGCGAACAGACGAGGAGCUUGCUCCUCUGACGUUAGCGGCGGACGGGUGAGUAACACGUGGAUAACCUACCUAUAAGACUGGGAUAACUUCGGGAAACCGGAGCUAAUACCGGAUAAUAUAUUGAACCGCAUGGUUCAAUAGUGAAAGACGGUUUUGCUGUCACUUAUAGAUGGAUCCGCGCCGCAUUAGAUAGUUGGUAAGUUAACGGCUUACCAAGGCAACGAUGCGUAGCCGACCUGAGAGGGUGAUCGGCCACACUGGAACUGAGACACGGUCCAGACUCCUACGGGAGGCAGCAGUAGGGAAUCUUCCGCAAUGGGCGAAAGCCUGACGGAGCAACGCCGCGUGAGUGAUGAAGGUCUUCGGAUCGUAAAACUCUGUUAUUAGGGAAGAACAAAUGUGUAAGUAACUAUGCACGUCUUGACGGUACCUAAUCAGAAAGCCACGGCUAACUACGUG